AGAGAGAGACAUGCGCGCAUAUCAAUAAGCGGAGGAAAAGAAACUAACAAGGAUUCCCCUAGUAACGGCGAGUGAAGCGGGAAGAGCUCAAAUUUGAAAUCUUAAAGGGUUUCCCUUUACGAAUUGUAGUUUAAAGAAGUGUUUUCUGUUGAGGUUUUGGUAAAAGUUCUUUGGAAUAGGACAUCAUAGAGGGUGAGAAUCCCGUAUUUGACCUUUACUUUCAACUUUGUGAUACACUUUCAAAGAGUCGGAUUGUUUGGGAGUGCAGACCAAAAUGGGUGGUAAAUUUCAUCUAAAGCUAAAUAUUGGCGAGAGACCGAUAGCGAACAAGUACCGUGAGGGAAAGAUGAAAAGAACUUUGAAAAGAGAGUUAAACAGUACGUGAAAUUGUCAAAAGGGAAGCGUUUGACACCAGUGUUGUUUUUCUGAAAAUCAAUUAAAGAACUGUUUAUGCUAAGUUGUUUAGACUUUAUCAGCUAACUGUUUAGUUUUGAGCUUUUCUUUAAUGCACUUUUCAGUUAACAAGUCAACAUCAAUUUCUUUUGCUGUAAAAAAGCUUGAGGAGGGUGGCUUGAGAUUCGUCUUAAGUGUUUAUAGCCUCUUGCCUAUGCAGUCGGAGAGAUUGAGGUCUGCAGCGUAGAUCCUUCGGGGCUAAAUGCAUUUGUGCUAAGUUAUAGCAUUUUAUAGGCAACUUGUUGACUAUGAUUUGUCUUGUAGCUUACUCGAUUAUGUUAUUUUACCUACGCUUAGGAUGUUGACGCAUGAGAUAUACGC
Molecule: ribosomal RNA, 774 nt
Filed under: uncultured Neocallimastigales
Lineage: Eukaryota; Fungi; Neocallimastigomycota; Neocallimastigomycetes; Neocallimastigales
Description: partial large subunit ribosomal RNA
Rfam family: Eukaryotic large subunit ribosomal RNA
Source: RNAcentral